Medicago truncatula (barrel medic) is the source of this 1321-nucleotide long non-coding RNA. RefSeq lists it as uncharacterized. The transcript is spliced from 2 exons. The record is from RefSeq and is a predicted model, not a curated record. NCBI's taxonomy places the organism in Eukaryota, Viridiplantae, Streptophyta, Magnoliopsida, Fabales, Fabaceae.
CAUGCUUGAAACUUUUAGGAGAAGACCCUAUUCAUAGAGAACUUCAUCAAAAGGCCGACUAAGUCUUGAGCUAGAAGUGUUCAUUAGUGAGAUUUUAGGUCUUCAAUGUCCCUCCUUCAUAUUCCCCAAGAACGUUGAUAAGACUUCGGUAAGGCGAAUUGAAGAAAAAUUCAAACAUUUAAACUAGUGUUGAUGAGAUUCUACUAUUUUGACCUUAUCGUCUAUCCAAAACAUGAGUCUUUGAUGAAGUGUCGAGGGAACACGUUCACUGAUAUGUAUCCAAUCUCUAUCGAGGAUUAAAGAGUAUGAAGGCUUGUCGUCAAUGAAACUUCACCUAUUAUUUAUGGUAUUGGUUCAUGAUUGCCUAGUCUAGUAUAUCAUCAGUAGUUUCUAUAAGAACAUUUAUGAUUGCUGGAAUAUUUUGGCUGACACAUCAAGAUAACUUCUUUGUUAUGGUUAGUUUUAGAAUCAGUUGGGAAAGCUUCUUCCUACUCUUUGGAAACCCGAGACAAUGAAACUUCUAUUUUACCCAUGUCUUGGACUCUAGUAAUCAAUUACAUUUUCUGUUGCAUCUUCAAAAGGAGCUUUGUCCAUUUCUGCAAUGUGGUGUUCAUUUAAAUGAGAAAGGACCAAAUGUAUUAUAGAAUUUGGAAAGUGAUGUUUGAUGGCAGAUCAUCUUAUGUUAUUCUUAGCAUGUUUGUUAGUUAAUUAUAGUAGGUUUUACCAGCAAAACAUAGGUGUAUUAGAUCAAUUGCCUAUGAUUUUUGGACAUUUAUAAUGUUUUCUAUAUUUGAGUUUGUAAUUCUAUUCUUCCCAAAACAUAGCAAUUUUAGGGUGUUCUUGAUGUAAUUCACGAAGAGAUCAAGCAAAUCAGGAAAAGCAAGACAUUCAAAGAUUUAUGUUAUCUUUGGGAAGAUGAAGAAUGAAAAUUCAAGAGGCUUCAGAAGACUUAGCAGAGGGAGAAAUUAUGUUCCAUAGUUCCAUGAAUUUUUACAUUGAAGAAAAUACCAAAACAGGCGUAGAAAACAUGCAAAAUAGCAUAGAAAACACACUAAAGCACCCAUGCGCACCACAAGGGUGCUAGGAGCUCUGGAGCUGAUACACAGAAGUGCCUGGCCCAUGCCAUGGGGUGUUAGGCGCCUCAUACUGGCAGGCACAUGCGCUAGGCGCAUGACCUUAGGUUCUAGGUGAAGCUUGCUUUGCAUGUGUUGUUGUUUUGAUGAUGUUCACUAAGACUCUUAAAAGUUGUUUAUUAUUUUUUUUGCUUUAGGUUGUAUAGCUUAAAGUUAUGUUAAUGCAUCUAGCAAUCUUUGUCCCUUUA